RNAcentral lists this ribosomal RNA (278 nucleotides) under Glomeromycota sp. Its description in RNAcentral is "partial small subunit ribosomal RNA". It matches the Rfam family "Eukaryotic small subunit ribosomal RNA", at positions 569 to 852 of the family's 1831-position model. Lineage: Eukaryota; Fungi; Glomeromycota. The record is from RNAcentral.
AGCAGCCGCGGUAAUUCCAGCUCCAAUAGCGUAUAUUAAAGUUGUUGCAGUUAAAAAGCUCGUAGUUGAAUUUCGGGAUCAGCGCGUCGGUCGUGCCUCCGGUAUGCACUGGCGCCGCUGGUUUCUCCCUUCUGAGGAACCGUGAUGUCAUUAAUUUGGUGUCGCGGGAAAUCAGGACUGUUACUUUGAAAAAAUUAGAGUGUUUAAAGCGGGCACGCGCUUGAAUACAUUAGCAUGGAAUAACGAAAUAGGACGUUCGAUCUUAUUUUGUUGGUUUU